Long non-coding RNA from Spinacia oleracea (spinach), 1347 nucleotides. RefSeq lists it as uncharacterized. The transcript has 2 exons. Lineage: Eukaryota; Viridiplantae; Streptophyta; Magnoliopsida; Caryophyllales; Amaranthaceae. The record is from RefSeq and is a predicted model, not a curated record.
GUUCCUCUAUUUAGGAGGUUUCUUUGUUUUUAAAAAAUUAGAAAUAAAUAAGGAACUUUCUCUAAAACUGGUUUUUAUUUAUUUAUUUAAAAAAAAAGCACCAUAAUUUUUUAUAAACUCAGGACCGUCUUCGUCUCCGUUUCCCUGUCCCAUAACCUAAUUUGGUUUUUCUAGUCAUCAUCUCUCUUGUCUACAUUUCCUCCCACCGCCGUCAAAGCCAUGAAACAUCUUCAUCUUCUUCUUAUUGUCCCAUAUUUCCUCUUUUCUACUCAAUCCUCCUUAGAAAUCUUCUAAAUUUAAACCUUAGAAAUUUGAAAUUCGAAGCGGAGAGAUUACGAAUCUCUCCCCAACAAAUCAAUGGCGACUCGGAAAGCAACGUUAAACUUGUUUUUUCUCGCUUGCAUUUUAUCUUACAGCGUUUCUCCAUGGCAGCGUAUGCUCAUUUCUCUCUCCUCCUAAUUUUGAUUUUUAUUUUUCAAUUUUAUGUAUGAAAUUAUUAAUGAAUGAAGAGCUGAUUUUUGUGUAAUUGGUUUCGGGAUAAAAUUUUGGAAGAGUUAGUAUGAUGUACUGCAAGUGCUGAAAGGAUCUUCAGGUGAUUAGAUCAAACAAGAUUAAAGGAAACUCACGUUGAAACACCAGCCUGACAAGAAUCAAGGCAAUUAAUAAGAAGGCCAUCAAGAAAUUUGGCUAGAUUAAUAAUGGCUGAAAGCAACCAAUUUUAAAGCCAAAAUUCGGUUCAAUCCAUAUAUGUUCAAGUGCGGUUGAAAUCCCUCUCUCCCUCAUUAGAUACAGUUGACAAGAUUGCUGCAGUUAUCAGAAGAUUUAAGGAAAGGUAAAAAAACCUUUUUCAUAAGGAUAAUGAACAAUGUCAAGGAAUCAGAGGUGGAGAGUUAUGGAAUGAUUGUUAAGAGCUUUUACGAGUUCGAACCAGGUUAUGCAGAAUAUUUGUUUGGUUUCACUGAGCAACGAAAGCCUUGCUGAUAAAUAUAAUAGAGGUAAACAUUAGUAGAUGAACAAGAGUAUUUGAAAUUGCUUAACUCAAAGAAGAAUGAUUUAGUGAUUUACAUUAAUUUGUUUCGGAAACACAACAAGCUUCAUCCCUCCUUAACGACACAAGAUUACCAUGGCUCUGAAGACAUCAUGCAAAGAGUUCAUCUGGGUAGUCAAUAAAAUAACAUUUGAAAUUAAAGCAUAAAGUAUAUACUUGUAUAUGAGGAAUUUUCAUUGUAAUUAGGUGAUUUUAAUAUAUUUAAUUUCAGUAUUCAUGUACUCAAAUAUAUUAUGUAAUUGAAGGUAAUCGAUUGAAAUGUAUUUAAUUCAAUACACGAAUUAAUAUAAUUUCGAAUA